AAAGCGUCCGUAGGCGGCUUGCCAAGUCAGAGGUGAAAUCCCACGACUCAAUCGUGGAACUGCCUUUGAGACUGGUUCGCUUGAAGAUGGGAGAGGUUAGUGGAAUUCCGAGUGUAGAGGUGAAAUUCGUAGAUAUUCGGAAGAACACCAGUGGCGAAGGCGGCUAACUGGACCAUUCUUGACGCUGAGGGACGAAAGCGUGGGGAGCAAACAGGAUUAGAUACCCCAGU
This 230-nucleotide ribosomal RNA is filed under the name uncultured bacterium. Its description in RNAcentral is "partial 16S ribosomal RNA". It matches the Rfam family "Bacterial small subunit ribosomal RNA", at positions 562 to 791 of the family's 1533-position model. The record is from RNAcentral.